Cheilinus undulatus (humphead wrasse) is the source of this 83-nucleotide non-coding RNA. The record is from the annotation of a RefSeq genome assembly. NCBI's taxonomy places the organism in Eukaryota, Metazoa, Chordata, Actinopteri, Labriformes, Labridae.
ACCAGGAUGGCCGAGUGGUUAAGGUGUUGGACUCAAGCUCCAAUGGGUAAUAGCCUUUGUGGGUUUGAGCCCCACUCCUGGUG